RNAcentral lists this unclassified non-coding RNA (237 nucleotides) under Hevea brasiliensis (rubber tree). Lineage: Eukaryota; Viridiplantae; Streptophyta; Magnoliopsida; Malpighiales; Euphorbiaceae. The record is from RNAcentral.
GGGUAAUUCCACUCGCACAACUACUGGUGGUAAGUGGAAAAACUUCUAAAUAUCCAUACAGAUAUUUUCAGCUAUUCCAAUAGGGAUUUUCACUUGAUACAGCCAUUUAAAGAAUGUUGGCAUAGAUACGACUUUAAUUCCUCAAAAAUCCCAUCAACCACAAUUUAGGGUAAAAGCAUUUAUCAUCAUACGCCUUUGGACGCAAUGAAAUUAGAGAAAAAGGAGUUCCAAUCCAAA